UUACUUUACUUUUACUUUAGUCUGUACUGUUCCGCCUAUAUCAGACGACCCACUUUUCAGUGUGAAUAUCAUACGUAUAUAUAUUGUCAGUUAAUCCAAUGCACUAGUAUUGAUUGUUUAUACACAUUAACCACCACCUCUAUUUACACACGAGAAUAAAUACAUCCCAUGAAUAUAUACAUGACCGAAACUGGAGCGCAAGUCAUUGGACUCUAAAAUGUUCGUUGCUCCAUUUCAA
RNAcentral lists this long non-coding RNA (238 nucleotides) under Mytilus galloprovincialis (Mediterranean mussel). Lineage: Eukaryota; Metazoa; Mollusca; Bivalvia; Mytilida; Mytilidae. The record is from RNAcentral.